GCAGAAGCUGGUCCCAAGAAGAUAUUGGACCUCAUGAAUAUCCCAUGGCUCACUAGGGAGAAUGUUGCUAGCCACCUUCAGGUAAAACUUUACCCUUCUCUUUAAUCCAAAAGAGGAAGAACACUAAGCUUUUUGUCACUUUUUCUAUUUUUAUUUUUAUUUUUAUUUUGUAGAAAUACAGACUGUACCUGAGUAGAUUAGAGAAAGGGAAGGAGAUAAAGUGUUAUUCUGGUGGAGUAAAGAAUAUGGAUUCACCUCCAAAAGAUGCUGAGAUUAAUUCAGGACAUCAAAGCCCUGGCA
This 300-nucleotide long non-coding RNA is filed under the name Brassica napus (rape). Its description in RNAcentral is "long non-coding RNA (BNAP_LNC019028)". The record is from RNAcentral. Lineage: Eukaryota; Viridiplantae; Streptophyta; Magnoliopsida; Brassicales; Brassicaceae.